This 753-nucleotide non-coding RNA is filed under the name unidentified. The record is from RNAcentral.
UUUUCAAAAAUUUAAAGUUUAAUUUUGGCUUAUAAAUUGGCUAAAAAAUUUUUAUAUAUGUGGGUUUUGAAUUAGAGAGGUGUAAUUAUGCAGUAUAUAAUUUUAAAUAUUAAUUAAUAUUAGAUUUAGGAAUUUUAUUUAGUGCAAACCAAAUUUGUGCCAGCAGUAGCGGUUAUACAAAUUGUACUAGUUAAUUUUAUUUAGUGGAAUUAUGAAGUGUUUAUUAGAAUGUGUUUAGGUUUAUUAGGUGAAAUUUUAAACUUAAAUUUAUUUAUUUUUAAUUUUGAUGUUCGAAAAUUCUUUUUUAGACUAGGAUUAGAUACCCUAUUAUUUGGAAUGUAAUUUUAAAACUAGGAUUACUGUAAGUAGGUUCUUUAAAAUUAAAAAUUUUGGCGGUAUUUUAGUCUUUUCAGAGGAACCUGUUUCUUAAUCGAUAAUCCACGAUUAAUCGUACUUUAGUUUUUAAUUUAUAUAUCGUUGUUUAAAAAAUUUUAAAAGAGUUAAUUUUUGGGGUUUUUUAUUAGAUUUUAUUUCAGAUCAAGGUGUAGUUUAUAUUGGAGUGGGAAUGGGUUACAUUUGAUUUAUCAUUUGUUUUUGGCCUUGGAAAGGUUAGAUAAAUUGGAUUUGAAAGUAAUUAUUAAAUAUAUAUAUAUUGAUUAAGCUCUAAAAUAUGUACAUAUCGCCCGUCGCUUUCAUUAUAAGGUGAAAUAAGUCGUAACAAAGUAGACUUAUUGGAAAAUGAGUCUAGAAUGA